AAGCAACCUCCCAACAGCUAGCCCGUCCCCCCAAAUCCAACAAACAACAUUAAUAACCCCAAAACCACAAAACACCAUAAAACAAACCAUUUUUCCUCCCUAGUAUGGGUGACAGAAAAGGAACAAGGCGCCAUAGAGAAAGUACCGCAAGGGAAAGCUGAAAGAGAAAUGAAAAAACCCAGUAAAGAAUCAAAAAGUAGAGAUAAUGCCUCGUACCUUUUGCAUCAUGAACUAGUUAGUAAACACCAAGCAAAGUGUACUUUAGUUUGAGACCCCGAAACUUAGCGAGCUACUCCAAGACAGCCUAUUACAGGGCCAACCCGUCUCUGUGGCAAAAGAGUGGGAAGAUCUUAGAGUAGAGGUGACAGACCUACCGAGCCUAGUUAUAGCUGGUUACCUACAAAAUGAAUAGAAGUUCAGCCUCUAAAUUUCUCUUUUCCCCUCUGGUUCAUACCCCAAAGUGAUAGCAAGAAAAACAGAGUGUUAUUCAAAGGGGGAACAGCCCCUCUGAACAAAGAUACAACUUUAAUAGGAGGCAAAAGACCAAAAGACAGCAAAGCACAUACCUUAGUGGGCCUAAAAGCAGCCACCCUUAUAGAAAGCGUUAAAGCUCAAGUACUAUGCCCCUUAAAAUUAAGACAAUCCCAUCUUAAGCCCCUCCCCAGAUUAGUAGGUCUUUUCAUGCAAACAUGAAAAAGAUAAUGCUAGCAUGAGUAAUAAGAGGAGCCAGAUCCUCUCCCGGCACCUGUUUAAACCAGAACGAACAUGCACUGAAAAUUAACGCCCCCAACUCAAAGAGGGCCCUGAGAAUAUACCACAAUGCCCAAGAAAUACUCUCAAAACACAAGCGUUAACCCCACACAGGAGUGCCAAAGGAAAGACUAAAAGAAAAAGAAGGAACUCGGCAAACACUGGCCUCGCCUGUUUACCAAAAACAUCGCCUCUUGCAUAUUAAACAUAUAAGAGGUCCCGCCUGCCCUGUGACUUAUUAGUUUAACGGCCGCGGUAUUUUGACCGUGCGAAGGUAGCGUAAUCACUUGUCUUUUAAAUGGAGACCUGUAUGAAUGGCAUAACGAGGGCUAAGCUGUCUCCUUUUUCCAGUCAAUGAAAUUAAUCUUCCCGUGCAGAAGCGGGAAUUCACACAUAAGACGAGAAGACCCUAUGGAGCUUUAAACAAAAGGCAGUUCAUAUUAAAACAACUAGACAAAAAGAACAAACCAAGUGAUAUCUGCCCUUAUGUUUUUGGUUGGGGCGACCACGGGGGAACAAAAAUCCCCCAUGUGGAAUAGGAACUCUCCUUCCUCAAAACAAGAGCCACAGCUCUAAUAAACAGAACUUCUGACCCGCAAGAUCCGGCAAAGCCGAUCAACGGACCGAGUUACCCUAGGGAUAACAGCGCAAUCCUCUUUUAGAGCCCAUAUCGACAAGAGGGUUUACGACCUCGAUGUUGGAUCAGGACAUCCUAAUGGUGCAGCCGCUAUUAAGGGUUCGUUUGUUCAACGAUUAAAGUCCUACGUGAUCUGAGUUCAGACCGGAGUAAUCCAGGUCAGUUUCUAUCUAUGAGAUGCUCUUUUCUAGUACGAAAGGACCGAAAAGAGGAGGCCAAUGACAUAGGCAUGCCUCACUCCCACCUGCUGAACACAGCUAAAACAGGUAAAGGGGCAUACCCCCACUGCCUGAGAAAAAAGGCAA
This 1692-nucleotide ribosomal RNA is filed under the name Stiphodon tuivi. RNAcentral's name for it is "16S ribosomal RNA". The stretch from base 113 to 1579 matches the Rfam family "Bacterial large subunit ribosomal RNA". The record is from RNAcentral. Lineage: Eukaryota; Metazoa; Chordata; Actinopteri; Gobiiformes; Gobiidae.